CCGGAUUUAUUGGGUUUAAAGGGUGCGUAGGCGGACUUGUAAGUCAGCGGUGAAAUUUUGCAGCUUAACUGUAAAAGUGCCGUUGAUACUGUGAGGCUAGGAUUUGGUUGCUGUGGGUGGAAUGUGUGGUGUAGCAGUGAAAUGCUUAGAGAUCACACAGAAUAUCGAUUGCGAAGGCAGCUCACAAAGCCAAAAUUGACGCUGAGGCACGAAAGUGUGGGGAUCAAACAGGAUUAGAUACCCUGGUAGUCCACACUGUAAACGAUGAUAACUCGCUGUCGGCGAUAUACAGUCCGUGGCCAAACCAAAGCCAUAAAUUAUCCCCCUGGGGAAUACCACCGCCAGGGUGAAACUCCAAGGAAUUGACGGGGGCCCCCACAAGCGGAAGAACCUGUUGUUUAAUUUCAUGAUACCCCAGGAACCUUACCCGGGCUCCAACGGUGCAUGAAUAUGGUAGAUAUAUCGUAGCUAGCAAUACUCUGUAUCAAGGUGCUGCAUGGUUGUCGUCAGCUCGUGCCGUGGGGUGUCGGCUAAAAUGCCAUAACGAGCGCACCCCUUGUCAUUAGUUACCAUCAGUCUAGCUGGGGAACUCUAAAGGAGACUGCCACCCUAAGGGGGGGAGAAAGGGGGGGAUGACCUCAAAUCACCACGGGCCCUUAUGUCCGGGGCGACACACGUGUUACAAGGGGGGUACAGAGGGCAGUCUUCCGGCGGCGGAGCCCCCAUUCUCAAAGCGCUUCUCAAUUCGGAUUGGAGUCUGCCACCCCACUUCCAUGAAGUUGGUAUUCGCUAAUAAUCUCGCAUCAU
Molecule: ribosomal RNA, 807 nt
Filed under: uncultured bacterium
Lineage: Bacteria
Description: bacterial SSU rRNA
Rfam family: Bacterial small subunit ribosomal RNA
Source: RNAcentral